GUCUGAAUAGUUUUUGUUGGGUCUAAUAGGAGUUUUUCGUAGACUUCUGGGUCAUUUAGUUGUCUGAGCGCUUCUUCAAUGUACAUGGCACUCGAUAAGAUGACCAGGCCACCACCUUUAUCGGCAGGUUUUAUUACAAUGUCGUUAUCAUCUUGUAGUUCUUUAAGUGCUUGUUUUUCUUUGUUUGUUAGAUUUUGUUUAUCAUAUUUAUUGGUCUGUAAUUUGUUUAGGUCAUGUGUGACUAAUUUUUCAAAGACAGUUAAAGGGGCAG
Non-coding RNA from Pelobates cultripes (western spadefoot toad), 271 nucleotides. The record is from the annotation of a GenBank genome assembly. NCBI's taxonomy places the organism in Eukaryota, Metazoa, Chordata, Amphibia, Anura, Pelobatidae.